GGGCAUGUAGUGUAGGGGUUAUCGCGCCUCAUUUGCAUAUGAAAUUGCGCUUACGUAAGUGCUUACAUAAGCGUUGAGGAGGUCUUGGGUUCAAUUCCCAACUUGUCCA
This 109-nucleotide transfer RNA is filed under the name Rhizoctonia solani 123E. It matches the Rfam family "tRNA". From Rfam's summary of the family: Transfer RNA (tRNA) molecules are approximately 80 nucleotides in length. Lineage: Eukaryota; Fungi; Basidiomycota; Agaricomycetes; Cantharellales; Ceratobasidiaceae. The record is from Rfam by way of RNAcentral.